RNAcentral lists this ribosomal RNA (557 nucleotides) under uncultured bacterium. RNAcentral's name for it is "bacterial SSU rRNA". It matches the Rfam family "Bacterial small subunit ribosomal RNA", at positions 347 to 916 of the family's 1533-position model. The record is from RNAcentral.
GGCAGCAGUAAGGAAUAUUGCACAAUGGGGGAAACCCUGAUGCAGCAACGCCGCGUGGGUGAUGAAGGCCUUCGGGUUGUAAAACCCUUUUCCAUGGGAAGAGAAAAAGGACGGUACCAUGGGAACAAGUCUCGGCUAACUACGUGCCAGCAGCCGCGGUAAAACGUAGGAGGCGAGCGUUAUCCGGAUUUACUGGGCGUAAAGGGCAAGUAGGCGGUAGCACAAGUUGGGUGUGAAAUCUCCCGGCCUAACUGGGAGGGAGCGCUCAAGACUAUGUUACUAGAGGGCAGAAGAGGGGGGUGGAACUCCUAGUGUAGCGGUGGAAUGCUCAGAUAUUAGGAAGAACACCAGUGGCGAAGGCGACCCCCUGGUCUGAACCUGACGCUGAGGGGCGAAAGCUAGGGUAGCAAACGGGCUUAGAUACCCCGGUAGUCCUAGCUGUAAACGUUGGAUACUAGGUAUUGGGGGUAAUAAACUCCCUCAGUGCCGAAGCAAACGCGUUAAGUAUCCCGCCUGGGGACUACGGCCGCAAGGUUAAAACUCAAAGGAAUUGACGG